GGGCCUGAUGUGGCUUCGACAGGCCGAGGAUAGCCGAUACCGUGAAGCAGGCCGAGAGCGAGUCCCCUCUCGAUAAUCAAGGCUCAACUCCAAAGUAAGUGCGAACAACAUCGUUCCUUUCGCUCGCAAGGCAGCCCCGGUUGCUGCCUAACCACCUCAAUCAGUAGGUAGCGAGCCUUCGCCACCCGACGCCGCUAAGGGUGGCGGAGCCAAAAUCAGCGGCUGCUCCCUGAGGCCGGGCCCCGGUCGGCCUUGGGGCUAAGCUCAACCGGGGAACCCCGCUACCCGGGAUAAAGGGUAACCCCCGCCGCGCGGGUUAAAGCGGCUAAGCCUGUGAACGAGCGGUAGGCGCGUACUCGGUCUGGACGGCGGUUCGACUCCGCCCAGGUCCAUUU
RNAcentral lists this transfer-messenger RNA (395 nucleotides) under Cyanobacteria bacterium QS_8_64_29. It matches the Rfam family "transfer-messenger RNA". Rfam says of the family: Bacterial tmRNA, also known as 10Sa RNA or SsrA, is named for its dual tRNA and mRNA-like properties. Its role is to liberate the mRNA from a stalled ribosome. Lineage: Bacteria; Bacillati; Cyanobacteriota. RNAcentral also lists the same sequence under 1 other name. The record is from RNAcentral.